AUUUCCUCAAUCUCUUUACACAAACUACAUAGAAGCUAAUCAAUUGCUGGAUGAGGAUUUCCACGUUGGAGAGAUAGGACCCAGGAAGCCAGAAAUUGCAAACGAGCAGACUGCUUCUCCACCAUCAACUACAAUUUUAACAACAUAGGGUGAUGAUUAAACUUUAGGAAGUCCAAAUGCAUCACUGUCGUUGAAGGGAAAAGAUUAAUCCACAUAUCAUUAGUGAGGCAUCGAUCAAGUCUAUUGCAGCUCUGCCUUCAUUGCCAGGCAGAGACACAUUGAGAAAGCGUGCAAGGCUUGAGAGGGAUGGCAAUUGCACACUCCCCAUAAUAUGGUCCCAGCAUGAGCACGCCUGUCGCCACCACAAGCAACAUUAUGAACACUUUCUUCAUCAUUAUUACUUCCAUUGCAAUCCCUCUAUUGAUCCAACCACGUAUGAAAUGCUCUAUGUCUUCUUUAUUUAUUUAUAUAUAGGGAUAAUGAGGAUCCUUUGAUAUAUCUUUAAGGAUAUGUAUAAAAAGAAUAAGGAAAAAUAUUAUGUAGAUAAUCUCAACGAAGAUAUCGUGAUUCAUAAGA
Long non-coding RNA from Prosopis cineraria, 576 nucleotides. RefSeq lists it as uncharacterized. The record is from RefSeq and is a predicted model, not a curated record. Lineage: Eukaryota; Viridiplantae; Streptophyta; Magnoliopsida; Fabales; Fabaceae. The transcript is spliced from 3 exons.